GUGCUCGCUUUGGCAGCACAUAUACUAAAAUCAGAACCAUACACAGAAGAUUAGCAUGGCCCCUGUGCAAGGAUGACAUGCAAAUUGGUGAAGCGUUCCAUAUUUUU
Mustela erminea (ermine) is the source of this 107-nucleotide small nuclear RNA. NCBI's taxonomy places the organism in Eukaryota, Metazoa, Chordata, Mammalia, Carnivora, Mustelidae. The record is from RefSeq and is a predicted model, not a curated record.